Long non-coding RNA from Cygnus olor (mute swan), 689 nucleotides. RefSeq lists it as uncharacterized. Lineage: Eukaryota; Metazoa; Chordata; Aves; Anseriformes; Anatidae. The transcript is spliced from 2 exons. The record is from RefSeq and is a predicted model, not a curated record.
AUCACUCCCAAAUUAUAUUCUUCUUCUGGGUGUAUGUGGUUAUUGCUGCUACUGCCAGAUUUUAUACAGCAUUUUGUAUGCUUAUAACUAAAAAAGUAGUAUGGAUUUAAACUUAAUUGCUUUUGCAGUAUCCUAUUUAUAGUUAUUAAUGUGCAGCAGAUGGGUAAAUUCUCCACCUGUUCUCAGUGCCAUAUCCAGCUGUUUCAGUGAUAAUUGUAAUUUAUCAACGUGGGAAUAAGUCUCAGACAAACUCAGAAGUGUAAAACCCAUUUUGAUUUGAACUGAGGAAAGUAAAGCCAUACAAAAAUGCCCUGGAGUUCCACAUCAGUGGCUUUUCCACUUGCAGUACCUCAUCAUAUGCUUUGUGAUAUGGAAAUCAAAACAGAAAUUCCCAGUGCUUUCUACAGUGACAGUAGGAAGAUGAUCAAAGCCAGUGUUGCUGAGACUUGUGUGAGCAAAGUUAGUGCCUCUUACUCUUCCUUAUGUGUCACAGUCCCUGUAUCAUUGUGACUUCAUGCAGCUCAGUAGAAGAGACAAUGCGAUACCUCGUCCUGCUCCAUAUCCCAGCACUAUCUGUCCUCCUCCAUUUCACCCCAGUCUUGAUGUUUUCUAUGACACUGUGAAUCCCAAAGAUGAGGCUCUGGGAACAUAGAAUGGAGUCAGAAGACUUCCCAGGAUUUAGAAGUAUA